Carcharodon carcharias (great white shark) is the source of this 6330-nucleotide RNA transcript. It is a transcript of the gene named sortilin 1a, with no coding region annotated. The transcript is spliced from 21 exons. The record is from RefSeq and is a predicted model, not a curated record. NCBI's taxonomy places the organism in Eukaryota, Metazoa, Chordata, Chondrichthyes, Lamniformes, Lamnidae.
GGAGGUAGGGGGGGGUGGCUGGGAGAGCAGGUUGUUGUUAUUGUUGGUGGUGCUGCUGGUUUAAAGUCUGAGGUUCCGUAAUGUCGGCGUUUUAAGUAUUCUUUUGUUAUAUGAAACUGAAAAUCGGAGGUUGACUUGAGUAAGAGAAAAAUGAGGGAGGCGGUCUGGAUGCUGCUGCUGCUGGUGCCCGUCGUUGCGCCGCUUGAUUCCCAGGGCAGGUUCUCGGCUGCUUUGCCCGGCGAGCAGCAGCAGCAACGCUUCAGCAGAAAGUUGCUGAGCGGCGGCGGCAGCGGCCAGAGGCUGCACAAGAGGCGCAUCCCCUCCUCCUCCUUCUCCAGUGGCUGCCAACAGCGACAAGGAUUUCAGGGGAAUUUAACAGCCCAUACUCACAAGUAUGAGUUUGUGGAUUUGAGUGGAUCUGUAACAUUGGCAUGGGUUGGAGAUGGAACUGGUGUACUCUUGGCCUUAACAACCUUCCAGCUGCCAUUCUUGGGAAUUAGCUUUGGACAGUCACGGUUAUACAGAAGUAAUGAUUAUGGAAAGACCUUCUCUGAUAUUACAAAACUCAUCAACAAUACUUUCAUCCGUACUGAAUUUGGAAUUGCUAUUGGCCCGGAGAAUUCUGGAAAGGUGAUCCUUACAGCUGAUGUAUCUGGAAAGAGCAGUGGCGGAAGGAUCUUCAGAUCGAGUGAUUUUGGCAAGAACUUUACCCCCAUAAAUCUUCCUUUUCACCCACUGUUGCAGAUUUUUUACCAUUCCAAAAAUUCCGAGCAUCUUCUAGCCCUCAGCAUAGAUAAUGUUUUGUGGUUUUCCUCCAAUUUUGGUGAAACAUGGAAAAAUAUUCAUGGCUUUGUCUGUCUUGUUAAGUGGGGACAAAAUGAUACUAUUUUCUUCACAACCCACCCCAAUGGGUCUUGUACUGCAAGGGGCCUGUUGGAGCUUAAAAGGACAGAUGAUUUUGGAAGAACAUUCAAAACUAUUGGAUCAAGAAUUUACUCGUUUGGCCUGGGCGGGCGUUUCCUCUUUGCAUCUGUUAUGACUGAUAAGGUCAGUUUAAGGGCACUCCAUGUGUCCGUGGAUAUGGGAGACACCUGGAAUAUGGCACAGUUGCCUCAUGUAAGUGCCGAACAGUUCUACUCCAUACUGGCUGCAAAUGAUGACAUGGUGUUCAUGCAUGUCGAUGACCCUGGUGAUACGGGCUGUGGCACAAUUUAUGUUUCAGAUGAUCGUGGAAUAGUGUAUUCUAAAUCUCUUGAAAGACAUUUGUACACAACAACAGGAGGCGAGACAGAUUUCACAAAUGUUACUUCAUUGCGUGGAGUCUACGUUAGUAGUGUACUUGCGGAAGAUGGUUCUGUUCAGUCUGUCAUUACAUUUGACAGAGGAGGAGAGUGGAAGCCCUUAAGAAAACCAGAUAAUAGUGACUGUGAUUCGACUGCCAAAAAUAAGGAUGAAUGUAGUCUGCAUAUCCAUGCGUCCUACAGCAUUUCCCAGAAACUGAAUGUACCAAUGCCACCACUGUCUGAGCCAAACGCAGUUGGCCUGAUCAUAGCACAUGGCAGUGUUGGAGAUGCAAUUUCUGUAAUGAUACCUGAUGUGUAUGUGUCUGAUGAUGGCGGAUAUUCAUGGUUUAAAGCUUUAAAGGGACCCCAUCACUAUACCAUUCUGGACUCUGGAGGCUUGAUAGUUGCAGUGGAACACAAUGAGUACAACAGUGUUAAUACGAUAAAGUUUUCUAUUGAUGAAGGCCAGUGCUGGUAUUCGUAUCAAUUUAUCAACAAGUCUAUUGUAUUCACUGGUCUUGCAUCGGAACCAGGUGCUAAAUCGAUGAAUGUCAGUAUCUGGGGAUAUGUGGAUCUCAUAUUUACACAGCACUGGGUAUCGGUCACCAUUGACUUUGAGGAACUCCUCACUAGAGAUUGUGCUGAUGAUGAUUACAUCCAGUGGCUUGCUCAUUCAAGUAAUGUUAAUGAUCCUAAUGAUGGCUGUAUGUUGGGUUACAAAGAGAAAUUCCGGCGUUUAAGAAAAUCUUCUCUCUGUCGGAAUGGACAUGACUAUAUUGUGAAUAAACAGCCCAAUGUCUGUCAGUGUACUUUGGAUGAUUAUUUGUGUGAUUUUGGUUACUAUCGAAAAGAAAAUAGCUCAGAAUGUGUAGAACAGGCCGAUUUGCAAGGACAUGAUCUGGAGUUCUGUUUACAAGGAAGAAAAGAAGUUUUGCAGACAAAUGGAUACCGAAAAAUUCCAGGAGACAGGUGUUAUGGAGGAAUACAAGUGACUCGCUCACUGAAAGACAUUAGUAAAAAAUGCGUCAGUAACUUGUUGGCUCCUGAAGAACUGUUUGAUUCACAUAGAAGCAGCUCUGUGCCAAUUAUUGCCACUGUAAUAGUAUUAUUACUGAUGCUGUUAAUCCUUGGAGUGAUUUUUAUCAAGAAAUAUGUGUGUGGCGGGAGAUUCUUGGUACAUCGAUACUCAGUCCUACAACAGCAUGCAGAGGCUACUACAGCAGAUGAACUGGACACCACUACAGCUGCCAAUAAACCAGAGUAUCAUGAUGACUCUGAUGAACUAACUGGCUGUUACUGGCUGGCUUUCUGAAAAUCAGAGGAAGAAGAAUGGACCAUAGACCACUGGAGGAGGCAGAAAAUAAUGAAAAGGAGCAGGAUCUCCUGGAAUAGACUGAUUUUUAAAAAGAAAAUUUGGAGUUACAAGAUGCUCUUCAUGCCAAACAAACGGCACCUUAGUAUUUAGAGAUGCUGUUGCCUCCAUCUGAUAGUCUCUAUCAACUACCUGCACUCUGAUUUUACAGCAUCAUACAAAGGCAGUGUAACUUUUUUUAUGAAUGUGAUAAAUCUAGAUCUGCAAUCUCAAAUUUCACAGAUGAGACUGCUUCUGGUCCUGGCAUACUGGAACUGUUUUGAAAGUUUUGUUUUAUGUGGGAGAGGGAGAGGGAAGAUGCUAAUGAAUUGGUGUCAAUCAGAGAUGUGUUUUUUAAAGAUGGGAAAUUCGUAGUUUUGAAAUAUGAUUAAUUUGCAGAAUUACAUUUUAAAAAUCUGCUUCUGGGUACAUAACUGCAAGCUUUUGUGGGCCUUUUAUAUGAUUAUACAUUCUUGAACAGAGUGCAUUAACCAACACUUUUAUUUCUCACCAAGGCUGACUUGUGUUACAAAUUAAAUGUAAGCAGUGAAUUUUUAAAUGAAUGCAUAUAUUCCAUCUUUGAAAAUAAAUGCCACUGAAUGUAGAAUUCCAGAUAAUAAGCUCAAAUAAAAUUUGGUCUUCAGAUUACAGAAGCAGGCAUUUAUUGUGGCAAUGCUUUUUCCAAAAUGUCUUCAUAUUGUGUGACUCCUUAUUGGCCUUGUGUAACAAUUUUCGUAUCAGACCCUUUUAAUUAGGAAAGUUAAGUUUUCAAGAGCAUUGUCCUGCUAAGAACACUCCUUUAUUUGUACACCUCUGUGUACUUGAUAUAUGUAAGAAGUAUUAGAGAUACACAUUGAUUCAUGAAAUACUCCAGUAUUUUAUGAAAUAAGAGAUCAGUUGUUAGUUGAUUUCGGAAGUUAGUUUGCCAUUUGAAAGUCUUAAGCCUCAUGCCACGAAAAAUUGAUUGAGGGCUUUUCACAUACUUAGAAUAUCAAAAUCUUAAUCAAUUGUCAACUGUAAUUUAAUUCUAUUAAAUUAAAAACUAAUGCUUGUGCCCUGACUUGCUGCACUUUUACUGUUUCUUUCAUCGCUGCUAUAAAGAACAGAAGGCAUAUAAACAAAAUACAAUACAUGGAUUAUAAAAGUAAUUUAGAAUGACAUCAGGUAUAUAUGCAGGUACAUUUACAGCAUGAAUUGGCUCCACCUAGUGUUCUACCUUUUAUCUUUAUAAUGGUAAUCUGGGAAAUAAUUUGAAACCAUACAUUCAUGUACAUUAGGGUAUCUUUUUUAAUGGAAAUGUUAUCCCGUUUCAGAACUAGCAAGUUGUGUAUUAUGUGCAGAAUUUACUUGUUGAAUACCUAUUUCAUUACUCUGUUGACAACUGUUAAUUUAUUUGCUUUGAUUCCUUUGUUCCUUAACACAGUUUUUGGAAUUGGAAACAUGAACAUGCUAUAAUGUAAAAUAGUUAUGUUUUUUUCUUUUUAUAAGAUCAUUAUUGCAUUGUUUAUUGUUUGCUUAUGUAUUCAUGUGCUUUAGGCUACUCUUCCUUUGUAAGCAGGUGGGAAAGAUUCCAGGACAGAAAAUUUUUUCAGUAAACAAUGUUGUAAUUCCAACACUUAAAACUCCAGCUAUGCAGCAAGCGUAUGCUCUGAGUGCAUGAAUAAUAUGCAGUACAGUGCUGUGAUGUAGGACUUGGUACUUUUUAUUGUAGUGAUGUUACAUAAGAAGCUGUUGAUUACCUCCGUGUACAUGUUCCAAGAUACAUCAUCCACUCUUAUCCAUGUGCGACGUUAAGAAUAAAGUAUCACACUGAAUCCCUUUACUUAUUUCCUUAGCUCCUUUUAUAAGCAUUGUAUAGUUUCAGAUCAUGGCUCUUAAAAUUACUGAGCAGUUUUAAACUUGAUCAUGACAGUUGAAUAUUCAAAUGAAUAUGCACAUGUUGACUGAGGAUCAUAUAUCUUUGACUAAGACAUAAAUUUUGUAGGAGUGUAAGUUUCUACUUGAUUUGUCAUGAUUAAUUGCAAAAAGUUUUCAUGAUUUUUAUUUCAUUUCAUCUUUAUUGACCUCAGUCAAACAGGGGAUGAAGAUACAAAAUCAUGGGUCUCAGGAAGUCUUAGCAUAUGAUGUAUGUUUAUGGUUCCAAAUAGCCUUAAACUGAUUAAUAGAAUAGAAUUGAUUUCUGUAUCUUUCUAUAUUUGAUGCUACAUUCGAAAAAAUUUCUAGUAUAAUUGAAACAUAUAUUUUCAAGUUGUUUUCUAAUCAUCAAUAUUAUAAACCAUCAUAAACUAGAACUGAAUUAUACAUAUACUAUAGUUCAAGAAAUCUUGAUCAAGCUAUAUUCUGCAAUCUGCAUUAAAAGUUUGAUUUGAUUACCACAGUUGCUCAUGCGCUCAAAUCGAACAAUUAAAGUUUAUAGCUAAUACAAGGCUUGCUCAGCUCAGUGUUUGUGAUGGGUCUUUGCUAGAAAUAAUCUAAAACAAAACCCACUGUGCUACUGUCAUAUAGCCCUGUAUUUUGGUCCUGCAAAUAUUUAUCCAAUUUUCUGUUAAAAGAUGUUCAGAUUUAAUGACGUGAAUGUUAUGUCCACAACUUUGUUUGCAGCUACAAUAGGUAGAUGCAACAGAGUGCUGUUAAAGCUCUGGAUGGUACAGGUCUAAUAUUAAUCCAAUCCAUGAAACUGGAAUGCGUUUGGUAUGACAAUUUGUGUCUCAUCAGCCUUGACCUAAAUGGAUGCAGAUAAAGCUGCUUUACAUUUAGUUUCCCCCCUACUUGCUUUUAGAAACUGCCAUCUUUUGAGUGUAUGAUUUUCAUUGCAUGUGCUUGUGUAUGAUGCAGUGACGGUAUAUAAGUGUUCUGUUCACCUGAUGUGUCUAUCUUACGAACUGAGAGAAUAGUAUUUAAACCAAAGCCACAUGUUCUGAAGAUCUAUGGUAUUUGGUCAUCUGCAGAAGUUUAACAUGGGAUGAUCACUCUUGCACAUAAUUUAUGCCCCCACACAUAUCUAAUAUCACCCUUUAGCUUUCCUCUUGAUGCUGAGCUCAUUGCUGUUGUUGCUUUGCUUCUUCUUUGGUUGUAUCGGCAUCAUAGACUAACAUCCGUGUUCCGCCAACAUUCAUGAAUAUGGCUAACAAUAUGAAAAUGACCAGAUAAUAUCUUUUUGUGAUGUUGAGUGAAGAAUAGAUAAUAACAUCCGCAAUGCAGCGAGAGCUAGCAAGCUGAUCCAUCUUUAAAAAUUCACUACAAUGUGUUUUUUUUUUUGCUGAUUCACUUGUUUCUUGAACAAGGUUGAUCAUUGUGUUCUGUUGUGAAUCAAUCCCUAUGUAUUUUGAAUUAAGCUGGUGGUUUUUCUAUAAAUUUCAAAUUGUACAGUGCAAAUGGAAAAGGACUAUGGAAAGUAACAUUAUACGCGAAGGUGUUAUGUCCCAACAAUUGAGACUAUUAAAUUGUGCUAUACGUUUUUAAUGCAUAAGUCAUGAUCUGUAUUACAAAUGUAAUAGAAUUAAUUUAUGAUUUGAUUUCAUCAGUAAUUUUGACUAGACCUAACUAGAGGGAUUUCAAAAGCCAAUAGAAAACAAAAUAUUUUAUGAACAUUGUUGAAUUAGUUGCUUUAUCCUCUGAAUGCUGGUGUAUUUUCAGUGAUUAAAUCUCAAGCAUUUUUGCUUCCUAAUUUAUGUGAAUAAAAUCAUCUGGAUCUUA